UAACCCCGAGCAAUCAAUGCUAGUUUAAAUCGACUUGUUUCUGGAGACGACUACUUGGAUCACUCUCUGAAAACAUUAAGGUCUGUUGUUCCGAAUGUUGGAGACCUUACCGGAAAUUGUACCGGAGAUGUUGGAUGGUGCAGUGCGUCUGUGUUGAAGAUUGACUAAACAUGGAUCCAGCAACUAUGGAUCCAUAUAAUGCUGAUGCGGACGGGUUUUACAAGGGCGACGAUUAUGAAUAUUUCCACUGGAAUGAAAAACAUGGCCAAUGGGAGAGGUGGACCCUAAACAACAACGAGUACAAGUAUGAGUAUGCGUACAAGUAUGAGAACGGGAAGGACUAUUACAACCACCAGCAUCAACCUGGUCAAGGGGCCAACUGGGAAAUGGAGGCUGGUUCUUCUCAGAUUGUCGAUGGUCCUGCCCAUCUCCCCCUCCCUACAUCCUCCGAUCUCCCUCAGCAGAGCCCACAGGAGCAGCCUGGAGUCCUCACAGCAUCCUUUGGGCUUCUUGCAAAGUAAGUACUUUGU
RNAcentral lists this long non-coding RNA (530 nucleotides) under Oncorhynchus kisutch (coho salmon). RNAcentral describes it as "lncRNA (ENSOKIG00005016553.1)". The record is from RNAcentral. Lineage: Eukaryota; Metazoa; Chordata; Actinopteri; Salmoniformes; Salmonidae.